This is a small nuclear RNA of Manis pentadactyla (Chinese pangolin), 106 nucleotides long. The record is from RefSeq and is a predicted model, not a curated record. Lineage: Eukaryota; Metazoa; Chordata; Mammalia; Pholidota; Manidae.
GUGCUCGCUUCAGCGGCACGUAUGGUAGAACCGAACGGUACAGAGACGAUCAGCAUGGCCCCUGUGCGAGGACGACACGCAGAUUCAUGAAGUGUUUCAUAAAAAA